UGGGGAAUUUUGGACAAUGGGCGCAAGCCUGAUCCAGCAAUGCCGCGUGCAGGAUGAAGGCCUUCGGGUUGUAAACUGCUUUUGUACGGAGCGAAAAGGUCUGCCCUAAUACGGUGGGCUCAUGACGGUACCGUAAGAAUAAGCACCGGCUAACUACGUGCCAGCAGCCGCGGUAAUACGUAGGGUGCGAGCGUUAAUCGGAAUUACUGGGCGUAAAGCGUGCGCAGGCGGUUAUGCAAGACAGAGGUGAAAUCCCCGGGCUCAACCUGGGAACUGCAUUUGUGACUGUAUAGCUAGAGUAAGGCAGAGGGGAUGGAAUUCCGCGUGUAGCAGUGAAAUGCGUAGAUAUGCGGAGGAACACCGAUGGCGAAGGCAAUCCCCUGGGCCUGUACUGACGCUCAUGCACGAAAGCGUGGGGAGCAAACA
Molecule: ribosomal RNA, 426 nt
Filed under: uncultured bacterium
Lineage: Bacteria
Description: bacterial SSU rRNA
Rfam family: Bacterial small subunit ribosomal RNA
Source: RNAcentral